Molecule: long non-coding RNA, 2026 nt
Organism: Cyanistes caeruleus (blue tit)
Lineage: Eukaryota; Metazoa; Chordata; Aves; Passeriformes; Paridae
Source: Ensembl
UGUUCAGCCAUAUGUACAAGCUUUAAUAAUGGAUGAGGAUCAAACUGGCUGUUGGGCACUGAAUGUGAAUCACCACAAUGUCAGAAUCUCCAGAGGAACUUCCCAAGGGAUGCUGAUUCUAUGCUAACAGCCAUAGAAACUCCUAUGCUCUGGCUGGAACAUGUCAGGUGGUGGAAACCCAGGAGAGGACAGAUCUUAAGUCAAGGGGGAGAAAAAAGGCUCUGCUGAAGCUAAAUCUGUAGAGAGAUGUGGUCUGCAGCUGAAGACAUUCAAGCAAUGAUCCUCUUGGUGAGUGUUAGUGGACAUGGAGCCAGGCUGGAAUGCAUUUGGUGCAUUUAGAACCCUGUGUUUAACUCAGAGUGGUGCUGAAUGUCCCUGCAGCACAGCUGCUGGAGGAACACAAGGCACUGCUAGAGACCAGCAGCACCCUUCCAUGGGAGUAUGCAAAGUGAAAGAGGAACAACCUCUGAGUUUGCAGGUUGCCAAAACCUCCAUGAUCUUCUCCAGGAGAUGAGAUUUUUGAAAGUGAAGAAGAGAGGUUGAAUUCCAAGUGAAGGAAUAUUCCUUGUUGCUGCAUUGAAUGGACAAUGUCACAGCUUUCUUCCUCAAAAACCAGUCCAGCCCUCUCUGGACUCCUCACACCCGUGUGCCCCCCACUCCUGCCAGCCCCAAGCCCACUGCAGGCUGUGUGGCACAGUCCUGGUGUAGCACACGGGUCAGGGGUGCCCAUCACUGCUCAGCCUGCUGGGUGCUGCUUCAGAAGGUACAUGGUAAUAAUCCCUUCUUCAGUGUUCUGAACCAGGGUUUACUCUCUGUGUUGAUGGAGGAUAAAGGAUGUUUGGGUGCAGCCAGGACAAAAGGCUCUCUCACCCCAGAAAUGUGCUGAUCAGUAUCCAUCCACAGAAUUCCAUUAAUAACCUCUCUUCCCUUCAGCACCAUCUCUAGUGUUUUUUCAGCAUCACGAAGGACUGAGCCUGUUGUGCUGGGGAAAGCCAGGCUUAUCUGGCUAGGCAGAACACAACCUUCAGUGGGGCCACAUCUUUAUUAAGUAGCUGAACAAUGCCUGGAAACUCCAGGCAGGUGUUAGAGUGGACAAAUGGGAAUAGGAAAAAGCAAUGACCUUUCUGAGCUGAGCCCACAGUUUGGACCAGUGUGUCCCUCCCUCUGUGUGAAGCUGUGGCAGCUUCAGCCUGUCCUGGCUGCAGCUGGGCUGGCUGGCAUAGCCACUGUCUUGGCUGCUUGGCCCAGAGGUUCUGGAUCCUCAAGGAUGGCUGUGCUGCUGGUGGUAAAUAGAUGCUAAUGCUCAUUUGUAGAGACCAACAGCAGCCCACUUACACUGGACCAGGUAAAAAUUGUUUAUUCUAACACAGAGACGCUCUGUGGAGCAUCAGACUGUGUAAGCAUCCCCAGUGCAGGGUUUUCUGCAGUGGAAACAACCUGUCUGACAUGGGCACAGCAGGCAGUGAGGGUUUGGCUCUAAGCAACACAGCCUGGCUUGAGUUUGUAAGUGUAAGAGGCAUGAAGAUAUGUUUACACGGUGUGAUACCCAGCAGCGAGGCAUCCUUGCUUAUUUUAUGGUUCUAUCAGCAUGUUCCUGACUGAUUAUGAAUGGAUUCCUUGCAGGUUAACAAGCUGAAAAUAUUUUUGUUAUUAAAGAGAACCAAGUCAAACUUUACUGAACAAAUACAUCUUGGACCUCUGGCUAAUGAGUUUUUCUGCUGUUCAAACAUUAUGUGAUAUGAAUGAAAUUGCAGUUGAAUUAAACUUAGCUGUUAAUGAAAAAUCCACAAGCUGCAAUUUUUUUGUCACAGCUUUAUUUUAGGCAGGUAAGUUAAUUUUGGAGGAAAUAACAAUUUUGCACAAUUUGGCUAUGUAAAAGUGAUUAAUGAAAAUAGUAUUACAGGUCCCAUUUUAUAAAGAAAUUGAAUCAAAAAUAUACUUUGAAGUGCAGAAGGGCUGUUUCUUCCAUGCCUCCCACCAUUAACUCCUGAAUAAAACACUUGUAUUGUGGUUUGCUUUGUAAAGC